GACAGCAGUCGCCGCGGGAAUACGGAGGGUGCAAGCGUUAAUCGGAAUUACUGGGCGUAAAGCGCACGCAGGCGGUCUGACAAGUCAGAUGUGAAAUCCCCGGGCUUAACCUGGGAACUGCAUUUGAAACUGUCAGGCUGGAGUCUUGUAGAGGGGGGUGGAAUUCCAGGUGUAGCGGUGAAAUGCGUAGAGAUCUGGAGGAAUACCGGUGGCGAAGGCGGCCCCCUGGACAAAGACUGACGCUCAGGUGCGAAAGCGUGGGGAGCAAACAGGAUUAGAUACCCCUGUAGUCCCUGUCUCUUAUAA
This 306-nucleotide ribosomal RNA is filed under the name uncultured bacterium. RNAcentral describes it as "partial 16S ribosomal RNA". It matches the Rfam family "Bacterial small subunit ribosomal RNA", at positions 507 to 809 of the family's 1533-position model. The record is from RNAcentral.